GAAUGGACAGUGACGUCAUGUGUUUACUCUGGAACAGCCAAGCAAUGGACCAUUUCUCCUAGAGCUACUCCUGAAAAACAGAAGCUACUUCAGCAGGAGGUAGAAUUUCUGUUAGAGCAUGGGUUAGUGGAGGAGUCAUCUGGUCUAUGGGAUUCACCGUGCAUCCUCGUUAAAAAAGCUGAUGGAGGCUUUUGCAUGUGCACAGACUACCGUAAGGUGAACGAGGUCACAGUUACAGAUGCUUACCCUCUUCCUCGUCUGGAUGACGUAAUCGACUUUGUUGAUGCUUGUGAGUCUGGGGUUGGGGCAGUACUGUUGCAAAACAGGGACGAGGGGUUGCAGCCUGUGGCCUUCUUCUCAGCGAAGUUCCAGCCACACCAGAGAGCCUACUCAACAACUGAAAAAGAAGCCCUCAUGCUGGUAUUGGCCUUGGAGCAUUUCGAUAUAUUUGUGGGCCAGACUUUGCAGGUGGUCACAGUCUACAUUGGCCACAACCCUCUAAUUUAUCUUCAAAACAUGAAGAAUCACAACACAAGAAUUAUGAGGUGGUCACUUAGGCUGCAACCAUAUAAUAUCAGGGUAAAACAUAUCCCUGGUAAAGAAAACAAGUUGCAGACACAUUGUCCAGAUCUUAGAUUUUAUAUGUAUUAGGUUAGGAUGUGUUAGGGACCUGUGGUAACCGGUUUCUAGCUUUUUUUUUACUCCUUUAUAUAUGUUGGGACGUUUUUUUUUUUUUUUUAGUGAGGGGGUGCGGGCUACCAUCUGCCUGUACCUUGGACCUAUGUUAGCCCUACUGUCUGCUGUCUCACUCUAAGUUUAGGGUUUGGCUUUAUGUCGCGAAUAAAGCUGAGCUCUAUCUAAAAGUUGGAUGGUUCAGAGGAAAGGCGGUCCCAUUAUAUGGUGCCAUUGUGGCACGGUUACCAGUGGGAGGUGGGAGCCUAUUCCUGAGCCCUCUUGGGGUAGGGGUGUGGAACGCAAAGAGUACGUAAUUUUUAUUCGGCGCAUGUACACACCCUCAUUGAAAGGCAACCAGCAAACCAGUACUAGGGUUGAAUGAUAGUGCCCCAUCAUUCGAUCAGUACCCAGGUUCAGCCAAUGAGAAGAUGGUUCUGGAAAUCACAGAGGUGUUGUGGGAACCGCCCGCCUGUCUGCCCUUGUCAUUUCCAUACUAGAGCUGGUUGAGCACGGUUGUCCAUUCUGUCUCCAGGCUGUGUUUUGGCCUUGCCUAAACCAUGUUGUACACACAUUUUCCAACUGUAUAUAGUGUAAAUAUCCACAUUGCUUUUGGUGAAGGAAAAUAUAUUUCUAAGUCAUUUAGCUGUGUUUGUUCUGCUCCUUGCUCCCCUUUACACCCAGGAUAACAGGUCUUAUUGUCCCUGGGUUGUAAUACCUGCCCUUCCUGCUGUGGCCUGUCCUGCCCUUCCUACUGUGGCCUCUCCUGCCCUUCCUGCUGUGGCCUGUCAUGCCCUUCUUGCUGUGGUCUUUCCUGCCUGCUCUGGCCUGCCCUAUCCUGUCUGCUCUGGUUUGUUCUGCCCUGCCUGCUCUGGUCUGUCCUGCCCUGCCUGCUCUGACCUGUCCUGCCUGCCCUGCCUCCUCUGCCAAUUAUUCUGGAGAUUUCAAGCUUGUUUCAUGGUUAUUUACCACUCAGAAAACCCCAGUGUUUAACCCCUUGACUGUCGCAAUCCGAAACCCUGAGGUGUCUCUUGGUUUCGCAAAAUUUUGAAAAAAAAAAAGUAUUUUUUCUUAUGAAAUGAUAGAGAAUCUUUUCCCGAUUGUAAUAACACCAAAAGAACAAAAUUUGAUGGAAAACUGAUGGAAUUAUGCUCUCUUGAAGUUAGCGACCUCGGCAACAUUUACGAAUUGGCGAUUUCGCCCACUUUGAGCCCUAUUUUUGGCUAAUUCCAUUGUUCCAGUCGACCAAGCUCAUAGCUAUUUCUUUAGAACUUUAUUUUUUCUAUCGAUUGUGUACAAGAAACUGCCCAUUUACCAACUUCAACUACCCAAUAACGUGGUCAGAAAUUUGCAAUUUGGCUAAUUUCAGGAAAAUAAAAAAACAUGACAAUUUCAAAAUAAGGUCCAGAAUGAACAAUGCAGACAUUCCUGGCUCUAAAAUAACAUUUUUUUAUUCAUCAGUCACGUCACGUCUCCAGGCCCCUCUGAUAUUACUCUUGCUUUCUAUUUUGAAUUUUUAUUCAAGCAAAAAAUAGAAGAUUUACUGUUAUGCAGACUACUGCAAUAUUGUAAUAAUUGUAUAAAUAAUGUCAACCCCUUCAUGACUGCAUAUUAGAAUGGCUACUUGGACAUUUAUUGGAAAAUGACAUCAUUUGUUUACUUUUGAACAUCGGCAAAAAUCAAACAUUUCCCCUACUUUGAGCUCCAUUUCAAGAUUCUUUUCAUAGUAAAACCAAUCAAAAUCACCUCUGUUUCUAUAACAUGUUUUUCAUUCUAUCAAAUGAGACCAAGAAAACGAGAAUGCAACCAUAAAUACUAUAUGAAAAUAGACCACAAAUUUGGCAUUUUAAUUAAAAAAAAAAGGUCAGAGUUUUUUUUCUCAUUAUGCACUGCGUGCUGCAGGAUUUUUUUGAUAUGGUGCACACUGACUACAAAGACCCAUUCUCUCACAUGCGGGUCUAUCAGCUUUCCCCUGCUUGAUUGAAGCUGCUAGAAUUUAUGAGUAUAUAUACGUCAAAAAUGGUGGCUCGUAUGACGUACAGUGGACCCCCAGUAUUUGAUGGCAUCGGUAUUCGAUAAAUCUGGUAUUCGAUGCAUUAUAUCGCAAAAAUUUUGCCUCGGUAUCCGAUCGAAAACCCAGUAUUUGAUGCGAUUCAUACGAAACAUGUCCACGUGGGGCCUGAACUGCCCCAUGUGUGCCAGUGUUUACAAGCCAGCUAGUGUGCGCGCAUCUAAGGAUACAUUCGGUACAUUCCACAUUAUCACUGUUUUUGGAGCUUGUUUCUGCAAAGUAAGUCACCAUGGGCCCCAAGAAAGCUUCUAGUGCCAACCCUUCGAGAAAAAAGGUGCUAAUGACUAUUUAAAUGAAGAAAGAGAUACGUAAUUGCAAAGUACGAAAGUGGAGUGCGUGUGUCGGAGCUGGUCAGGUUGUAUAGUAAACCCCAAUCAAUCAUCUCUACUAUAGUGACCAGGAAAACGGCAAUCAAGGAAGCUGUUCUUGCAAAAGGUGCAACUGUGAUUACGAAACAGCGACCGCAAGUGUUAGAAAAUGUUGAGAGACUGUUAUUGGUGUGGAUAAAUGAAAAACAGAUAGCAGGAGAUAGCAUCUCUCAAGCGAUCAUUUGUGAAAAGGCUAGGCAGUUGCAUGACGAUUUGGUAAAGAAACUGCCUGCAACUAGUGCUGAUGUGAGUAAAUUUAAGGCCAGCAAAGGUUGGUUUGAAAGAUUUAAGAAUUGUAGUGGCAUACACAGUGUGAUUAGGCAUGGUGAGGCUGCCAGUUCGGACCAAAAAGCAGCUGAAAAAUAUGAGAAGGAAUUCAAGGAUUACAUAGACAGUGAAGACUUGAAACCUGAACAAGUGUUUAAUUGCGAUGAAACAGGCCUGUUUUGGAAGAAAAUGCCAAGCAGGACCUACAUUACUCAGGAGGAAAAGGCACUCCCAGGACAUAAGCCUAUGAAAGACAGGCUUACUCUCUUGAUGUGUGCCAAUGCUAGUGGUGAUUGCAAAGUGAAGCCUUUAUUGGUGUAUCACUCUGAAACUCCCAGAGUGUUCAGGAAAAACAAUGUCAUCAAGGCUAAUUUGUGUGUGCUGUGGAGGGCAAACAGUAAGGCAUGGGUCAAUAGGGACUUUUUCUAUGACUGGUUACACUGUGCAUUUGCCCCCACUGUGAAAAAUUACCUAAUUGAAAAGAAAUUAGACCUUAAGUGCCUCCUGGUAUUAGACAAUGCCCCUGGUCAUCCUACAGAAUUGGCAAAGCGGCUUUCUGGGGACAUGAGCUUCAUUAAGGUCAAGUUUUUGCCUCCUAAUACAACUCCUCUCCUGCAGCCCAUGGACCAGCAGGUCAUUUCCAACUUCCAGAAACUGUACACAAAAGCUAUGUUUCAAAAGUGCUUUGUAGUGACCACAGAAACUCAACUGACUCUAAAAGAAUUUUGGAAGGAUCACUUUAAUAUCCUCAAUUGUAUAAACCUUAUAGGUAUGGCUUGGGAGGGAGUGACAAAGAGGACCUUGAACUCUGCUUGGAAAAAACUGUGGCCAGAAUGUGUAGACAAAAGGGAUUUUGAAGGAUUUGAGGCUAACCCUGAGAAGCCUAUGCCAGUUGAGGAAUCCAUUGUGGCAUUGGGGAAGCCCUUGGGGUUGGAGGUUAGUGGGGAGGAUGUGGAAGAGUUGGUGGAGGAGGACAAUGAUGAACUAACCACUAGAUCAUCUUCAACAGCAAGAGGCCAGACCUGAGGAAACUGCUUUGGAGGAGGGGAUAAAUUGAAGAAGUUGCCUACUUCAAAGAUAAAGGAAAUGUGUGCAAUGUGGCUUAAAGUGCAAACCUUUUUUGAUGACAAUCACCCUAACACAGCUAUUGCAAGCCAUGCUGGUGACUAUUACACUGACAAUGUUGUGAAACACUUCAGGAAUGUCAUAAAGGAAUGGGAGGUACAGGCCACUAAGGACAGAUAUGUUGUGUGACAGAAGUCCAGUGACUCUCAAGCUGGUCCUAGUGGCAUUAAAAGAAGAAGGGAAGUAACCCCAGAAAAGGACUUGCUACCUCAAGUCCUAAUGGAAGGGGAUUCCCCUUCUAAACACUAACACCUCUCCCCUCCUCCCAUCCCAUCAAUCAUCACUAGAUCUUCAUUAAAGGUAAGUGUCAAUUAUUCUAUUGUUAUUGUUGUUAUUGUAAUUAUUCUAUUGCAUUAAACUUAAUAUUUCAUAUGGUAAAAUUUUUUUUUUCAUACUUUUGGGUGUCUUGCACGAAUUAAUUUGAUUUCCAUUAUUUCUUACGAGGAAAAUUGAUUCGCUUUUCGAUAUUUUUGGUAUUCGAUGAGCUCUCAGGAACGGAUUAAUAUCGAAUACCACGGGUCCACUGUAUAUAUACGACCGAAACAAUCAAAGGGUUAAACAACAAAAAGUAUCCAAGAACAGGUUGGGUGUUCUGGUGUCUUGGUACAAAUUAACAUAAAGCUACGUAUUUUGGGGUUUGAGUUACAAUAAUUUUGAAAUAUGAUACAUCUUCUGGAAAGUAUUAAUGCAGCUUGAGGGACCACUGUACUACAUACUCUAUUUGUUAAAAUAAUAUUAAAUUUUGAAA
This is a non-coding RNA of Cherax quadricarinatus, 5251 nucleotides long. NCBI's taxonomy places the organism in Eukaryota, Metazoa, Arthropoda, Malacostraca, Decapoda, Parastacidae. The record is from RefSeq and is a predicted model, not a curated record.